This 898-nucleotide long non-coding RNA is filed under the name Fragaria vesca (wild strawberry). RNAcentral's name for it is "long non-coding RNA (FVES_LNC004415)". The record is from RNAcentral. Lineage: Eukaryota; Viridiplantae; Streptophyta; Magnoliopsida; Rosales; Rosaceae.
CCUAGUAGGUGGUCCUACUGCCCAUACUGACCCCAAUAGGAGGUCCUACUGCCCCCAAUAGGUUGUUCAACUGCCCCAAUAGAGGGUCAUACUGCUCCCAGUAGGAGGUCUUACUAUCCCCAAUAGGUGGGCAUAUUACUCCCAAUAGGGACCUAUUAUAAGUGACUAAAGCACAACUGCCUCCGGAGUCCCGUCAACGGUACCCGGAGCCCGGUCAAAAGUUGCCGGAGUCCAGUCAACGUCAUUGGUCGUGGGAAUCCGAUCAUAACAACUUUAUUUUAUAAUAAACUCUUGUAAUGGUCUAUUGUAGUUUAUUUAAUUCAUUAAUGAUAUAAUUGUCUUUCUACUCUUAUAAUGGUCUAUUGUAGUUUAUUUAAUUCAUUAAGGGUAUAUUUGUCUUUCUGUUGUUUAAGUUGGCUCAUGAGAAUUUUAAAAUCUGAUUUUGUUAGUGGGAAUAAAAUUCUUAAAAUUAGGGCUCUCGGGCAUUGUCCAUAAAUUUUAAUGUUGUACGUAUUUGGAAAGGGUGCCGCUAUUGCCACCCCACCAAAUGUUUUUUUCACCCCGUAUUUCAAUUUUAAACUAAAUAUUCUAAUACUAACCCCACAAUCAAGAAUUUUUGUGAAAAUAUAAUAUUAAACUAAAAUCCAAACAACACCAAUUCUCUAUAUCUUUACAUUGGAAAAAAAAUAUAUAUAUAUCUCUACAUUUUUCAAAUCAUAUUUGAGAAUCACUUCAAUCUUCAACAUGGUGGUUAUACAGUGUGAUAUAUGAGAUUGUUCAUUCUUAUUUUUAUUUUAUUUAUGGCUUCAAACAUAGUAUUUCAUAUAUAUAUAAUAUUCAUAAUCGUAAAGAAAGAACUCAAGAAAGAGAUUGAGGAGAACAUAGGAUGUGGUUUGAG